UACAGAGGUCUCAAGCGUUGUUCGGAUUCAUUGGGCGUAAAGGGUGUGUAGGUGGCGCGCUAAGUCGGGUGUGAAAUUUCGGAGCUUAACUCCGAAACUGCAUUCGAUACUGGCGUGCUUGAGGACUGCAGAGGAGACUGGAAUUUACGGUGUAGCGGUGAAAUGCGUAGAUAUCGUAAGGAACACCAGUGGCGAAGGCGGGUCUCUGGACAGUUCCUGACGCUGAGGCACGAAGGCCAGGGGAGCAAACGGG
RNAcentral lists this ribosomal RNA (253 nucleotides) under uncultured bacterium. Its description in RNAcentral is "partial 16S ribosomal RNA". It matches the Rfam family "Bacterial small subunit ribosomal RNA", at positions 524 to 776 of the family's 1533-position model. The record is from RNAcentral.